RNAcentral lists this ribosomal RNA (955 nucleotides) under Pantoea agglomerans. RNAcentral describes it as "partial 16S ribosomal RNA". It matches the Rfam family "Bacterial small subunit ribosomal RNA", at positions 30 to 997 of the family's 1533-position model. Lineage: Bacteria; Pseudomonadati; Pseudomonadota; Gammaproteobacteria; Enterobacterales; Erwiniaceae. The record is from RNAcentral.
UUGACGCUGGCGGCAGGCCUACACAUGCAAGUCGAACGGUAGCACAGAGAGCUUGCUCUCGGGUGACGAGUGGCGGACGGGUGAGUAAUGUCUGGGAAACUGCCUGAUGGAGGGGGAUAACUACUGGAAACGGUAGCUAAUACCGCAUAACGUCGCAAGACCAAAGAGGGGGACCUUCGGGCCUCUUGCCAUCAGAUGUGCCCAGAUGGGAUUAGCUAGUAGGUGGGGUAACGGCUCACCUAGGCGACGAUCCCUAGCUGGUCUGAGAGGAUGACCAGCCACACUGGAACUGAGACACGGUCCAGACUCCUACGGGAGGCAGCAGUGGGGAAUAUUGCACAAUGGGCGCAAGCCUGAUGCAGCCAUGCCGCGUGUAUGAAGAAGGCCUUCGGGUUGUAAAGUACUUUCAGCGGGGAGGAAGGUGUUGUGGUUAAUAACCNCAGCAAUUGACGUUACCCGCAGAAGAAGCACCGGCUAACUCCGUGCCAGCAGCCGCGGUAAUACGGAGGGUGCAAGCGUUAAUCGGAAUUACUGGGCGUAAAGCGCACGCAGGCGGUCUGUCAAGUCGGAUGUGAAAUCCCCGGGCUCAACCUGGGAACUGCAUUCGAAACUGGCAGGCUAGAGUCUUGUANAGGGGGGUAGAAUUCCAGGUGUAGCGGUGAAAUGCGUANAGAUCUGGAGGAAUACCGGUGGCGAAGGCGGCCCCNUGGACAAANACUGACGCUCAGGUGCGAAAGCGUGGGGAGCAACAGGAUNANAUACCUGGUAGUCCCGCCGUAAACGAUGUCNACUUGGANGUNGUGCCCUUGAGGCGUGGCUUCCGGANCUANCNNUUAAUCCACCCCUGGGGAAUACGCCNCAAGGUUAAACUCAAUGANUNNCNGGGNCCCCCCAACGGGGGAACUUUGNUUUAUUCUNNCACCCGAAAACUUUCUUCUUUGACUCCNAAANUUUC